GAUGAACGCUGGCGGCGUGCCUAACACAUGCAAGUCGAGCGAACGGACGAGAAGCUUGCUUUUCUGAUGUUAGCGGCGGACGGGUGAGUAACACGUGGAUACCCUACCUAUAAGACUGGGAUCACUUCGGGAAACCGGCGCUAAUACCGGAUAAUCUUUUGAACCGCAUGGGUCAAAAGUGAAAGACGGUCUUGCUGUCACUUAUAGAGGGUUCCGCGCUGCAUUAGCUAGUUGGUAAGGUCAAGGCUUACCAAGGCAACGAUGCAUAGCCGACCGGAGAGGGUGGUCGCCCACACGGGAGCGUAGCCACCGUCCAUACUCCUACGGGAGGCAGCAGUAGGGAAUCUUCCGCAAUGGGCGAAAGCCUGACGGAGCAACGCCGCGUGUGUUAUGACGGUCUUCGGAUCGUAAAACUCUGUUAUUAGUGAAGAACAUAUGUGUAAGUAACUGUGCACAGCGUGACGGUACCUAAUCAGAAAGCCACGGCUAACUACGUG
Molecule: ribosomal RNA, 497 nt
Filed under: uncultured bacterium
Lineage: Bacteria
Description: partial 16S ribosomal RNA
Rfam family: Bacterial small subunit ribosomal RNA
Source: RNAcentral